UCGUCAGCUCGUGUCGUGAGAUGUUGGGUUAAGUCCCGCAACGAGCGCAACCCCUAUUGUUAGUUGCUAUCAUUAAGUUGAGCACUCUAGCGAGACUGCCUGGGUUAACCAGGAGGAAGGUGGGGAUGACGUCAAAUCAUCAUGCCCCUUAUGUGUAGGGCUACACACGUGCUACAAUGGCAAGUACAGAGAGACGCAAAACCGUGAGGUCGAGCAAAUCCCUUAAAACUUGUCCCAGUUCGGAUUGUAGGCUGAAACUCGCCUACAUGAAGCCGGAGUUGCUAGUAAUCGCGAAUCAGAAUGUCGCGGUGAAUACGUUCCCGGGUCUUGUACACACCGCCCGUCACACCAUGAGAGUUGGCAAUACCCAACGUCCGUGAGCUAACCGCAAGGAGGCAGCGGCCUAAGGUAGGGUCAGCGAUUGGGGUGAAGUCGUAACAAGGUAACCGUA
Molecule: ribosomal RNA, 451 nt
Filed under: uncultured bacterium
Lineage: Bacteria
Description: bacterial SSU rRNA
Rfam family: Bacterial small subunit ribosomal RNA
Source: RNAcentral